RNAcentral lists this long non-coding RNA (224 nucleotides) under Parus major (Great Tit). Its description in RNAcentral is "lncRNA (ENSPMJG00000006379.1)". Lineage: Eukaryota; Metazoa; Chordata; Aves; Passeriformes; Paridae. The record is from RNAcentral.
AGGCAGAAAGCCUGAGAGAAGGUGGACGGACCCAGCAGCCGCAGCCCGGCUCCUCCCGGACCGGGCACCCUGUCGACGGCCCCGACUCUCCGGGCCACCCCAGUUUGGAGGAUUCUAACCUUGAUUUUCCAGCUUUGACCCCCCUCUGGAAGCGGUCAUAUGUGUCAAAUGGGUGUGAAAUGCUGGCUAAAACUACAGACAUAUCUUUGACUGAUCAAGCCUGA